This 282-nucleotide ribosomal RNA is filed under the name uncultured bacterium. RNAcentral describes it as "partial 16S ribosomal RNA". It matches the Rfam family "Bacterial small subunit ribosomal RNA", at positions 560 to 841 of the family's 1533-position model. The record is from RNAcentral.
GUAAAGAGCAUGUAGGCGGCUUAAUAAGUCGAGCGUGAAAAUGCGGGGCUCAACCCCGUAUGGCGCUGGAAACUGUUAGGCUUGAGUGCAGGAGAGGAAAGGGGAAUUCCCAGUGUAGCGGUGAAAUGCGUAGAUAUUGGGAGGAACACCAGUGGCGAAGGCGCCUUUCUGGACUGUGUCUGACGCUGAGAUGCGAAAGCCAGGGUAGCGAACGGGAUUAGAUACCCCGGUAGUCCUGGCCGUAAGCGAUGGGUACUAGGUGUAGGAGGUAUCGACCCCUUC